UAAAUACUCCCUCCAUCCCAAAUUACUUGUCGCAGAAAUGGAUGUAUCUAGAAAUAUUUUUAGUUAUAAAUACAUCCAUUUCUAUCAAUUUUUGCGACCAGUAAUUCGGGCCGGAUGGAGUAGAUG
This is a non-coding RNA of Hordeum vulgare subsp. vulgare (domesticated barley), 126 nucleotides long. The record is from Rfam. NCBI's taxonomy places the organism in Eukaryota, Viridiplantae, Streptophyta, Magnoliopsida, Poales, Poaceae.